Molecule: long non-coding RNA, 397 nt
Filed under: Ixodes scapularis (black-legged tick)
Lineage: Eukaryota; Metazoa; Arthropoda; Arachnida; Ixodida; Ixodidae
Description: uncharacterized LOC121836145, transcript variant X2
Source: RNAcentral
GGUGACUAGAAGCUGCCGAUGAGCUGGCAGUCCGGAUGGCAGCUAUCAACACGGCAAGGGCCUGCAGGCGCAUCAGCCCUCCCCCCGUUCCUCUACUGCCAUUGGAGACAGGAUGCUUUGUAAAAGUGGGAGCUCAUGAAGGUGGCACUGUGCACUGAGGGACAGAGUGGCUGACAGUGAACUGCCCAAGACAACCUGCUGGCUCUCGUGACCAUCUCCGAAAGCCUUUGGAUGGGCUAAUUGACAGGCAUGCCUGGACAUUUAUAAACGGCUGCUCUUAUAUGCACCAUGAAGACAUCGAAGAGGUCUCCAAUUGAAGGACAACUAUAAGCACAAGCAUGGAGGGGCAUCUAGAUGGCGAGCGCAAGGACAACUGUAAUGUAAAAUUUCUCCCAAC